UUCUGGAUCCCUGGAGGCUAAGAAGCCCACUGAGGACUGCACCUGGUUAUUGCUGCCUGGGCAGGGCCAGUGCCCUGCUGGUUUUGUGUCUGCCUCUGCUGGAGGGUCCUAGGGACCGCUUCAGUCUUCUGUUUCUGCUGGAGGAUCCCAGGGACCGCUUUAGGGUUCGUCUGUCUCCGCUGGAGGGUCCGAGGGGCCUAUUCAGCCUUCUAUUUCCGUUGGAGGGUCCGAGGGGCCGCUUCAGCCUUCGUCUGCCUCCGCUGGAGGAUCCGAGGGGCCCAUUCAGCAGCCUGUCUCCGCUGGAGAGUACAAAGGGGCCCGUUCAGCAGCUUGUCUCCGCAGGAGGGUCCAAGGGGCCCGUUCAGCAGCCUUUCUCCGCUGGAGGGACCGAGGGGCUGCUUCAGCCUUCGUUUGUCUACACUGGAGGAUCCGAGGGCCUGUCCAACCUUCCUCAGUCUCCGCAGGAUCCCGCCCUCGUCUGGUCCUGCCUUGUCCGGUCCUUCCUUGUCUGGUCCUGCCUCAUCUGGUCCUGCCAUGUCUGGUUCUGUGGCUGCCAUGCCACUGCCUCAUUCACAUCUGACUCAGCCUGCUCGACCUCAUCCAUGUCUGGUUCGGCGUCAGCGGCCUCUUUCCAGGCCGUUUACUGGACUUCUUUGUCAGCGUGGAAGACCUCAGGAGCUGCUUUUUCGCUGCCGCCACCUCCCUUGUUGUCGGCCUCUGGACCAGUUAAUCUUCUGUUGCCGCCACUGCCUUCCACGAGGCCAGCCUCCAGACCUGUUAUGCCUGCGUCGCCGCCGCUGCCUUCCACGCGGCCUGACUCCCGACCUGAUAAUUAUAGGCCAUUGGCCAAUGUAGACGAAACGUUUUGCACCAUCGAAGGCACCUGAGGUAGCACCCAAAAGGCAGAGGAAGAUGCUAACCAUCGCACAAAAAGUUGGACUUCUGGACAUGCUAAAAGUUACCAUAUUUUUUGGACCAUAAGGCACAUUAAGCGAAACAAAACAGUCAGACAAGUCAAACUUUACUCAACUCACUCUUCUUGCUUCCUCCACUUCCGUACCAUUGAUUCAUUAAUGUUGAAUUCUCUGACAGCUGCUCUAUUCCCAUGUUCUGGACCUGAAAACAGGGCUUGAUCUUUGGUUUCAUUCUAUAAUAUUGGACUUAUUUUUCUACGAAGGUUUGAACUUGAGUGUUUAAACAAGACAGAAAAUUUUGAAAAUGUACAUGCUGUCUGAGAAAAGUGUAUAAAGUGUGUAGUGAGGGGUCU
Molecule: long non-coding RNA, 1267 nt
Filed under: Oreochromis niloticus (Nile tilapia)
Lineage: Eukaryota; Metazoa; Chordata; Actinopteri; Cichliformes; Cichlidae
Description: lncRNA (ENSONIG00000036459.1)
Source: RNAcentral